GCAAGGUUAACCGAAUAGGGGAGCCGGAGGGAAACCGAGUCUUAAUUGGGCGUUAAGUUGCAGGGUAUAGACCCGAAACCCGGUGAUCUAGCCAUGGGCAGGUUGAAGGUUGGGUAACACUAACUGGAGGACCGAACCGACUAAUGUUGAAAAAUUAGCGGAUGACCUGUGGCUGGGGGUGAAAGGCCAAUCAAACCGGGAGAUAGCUGGUUCUCCCCGAAAGCUAUUUAGGUAGCGCCUCGUGAAUUCAUCUCCGGGGGUAGAGCACUGUUUCGGCUAGGGGGCCAUCCCGGCUUACCAACCCGAUGCAAACUGCGAAUACCGGAGAAUGUUAUCACGGGAGACACACGGCGGGUGCUAACGUCCGUCGUGAAGAGGGAAACAACCCAGACCGCCAGCUAAGGUCCCAAAGUCAUGGUUAAGUGGGAAACGAUGUGGGAAGGCCCAGACAGCCAGGAUGUUGGCUUAGAAGCAGCCAUCAUUUAAAGAAAGCGUAAUAGCUCACUGGUCGAGUCGGCCUGCGCGGAAGAUGUAACGGGGCUAAACCAUGCACCGAAGCUGCGGCAGCGAACGUAUCACUUAAAGCGAUUCAGCGGGUUACGAUUGACGGAGCGAAGCGACGUCAAAGCGUAUACAAAGUCGAGUCGGUUUAAGGAUACGUUCGUUGGGUAGGGGAGCGUUCUGUAAGCCUGUGAAGGUGGCCUGUGAGGGUUGCUGGAGGUAUCAGAAGUGCGAAUGCUGACAUAAGUAACGAUAAAGCGGGUGAAAAGCCCGCUCGCCGGAAGACCAAGGGUUCCUGUCCAACGUUAAUCGGGGCAGGGUGAGUCGACCCCUAAGGCGAGGCCGAAAGGCGUAGUCGAUGGGAAACGGGUUAAUAUUCCCGUACUUGGUGUU
RNAcentral lists this ribosomal RNA (894 nucleotides) under Salmonella enterica subsp. enterica serovar Dublin. RNAcentral's name for it is "partial 23S ribosomal RNA". It matches the Rfam family "Bacterial large subunit ribosomal RNA", at positions 640 to 1452 of the family's 2925-position model. Lineage: Bacteria; Pseudomonadati; Pseudomonadota; Gammaproteobacteria; Enterobacterales; Enterobacteriaceae. The record is from RNAcentral.